Long non-coding RNA from Cavia porcellus (domestic guinea pig), 19373 nucleotides. RefSeq lists it as uncharacterized. The transcript has 2 exons. Lineage: Eukaryota; Metazoa; Chordata; Mammalia; Rodentia; Caviidae. The record is from RefSeq and is a predicted model, not a curated record.
UAAUCUAUAAAUAAGUACCUUAUGUGAUUUAUAUAUUUUAAAAAAUGAAUGUUGGUUUUAAUGCAUUCAUUCACAGUUAUCUGACUGAUACAUAAAAGCAAACUACAAAAUAGUUAAAUUGUUCAUCAAAUAUUUAUAAAAUUUCUACUAUGUAGCAGUUGCUGUAUUUAGCAUUGGAGUUAAAAUAGGGCAGAAGAGAAAAAUCUUCUUUGCCUUCAUGAAAUUUAUAACACUUGAACUUCUCACAGGUACUGAAGGAAAAGUGACUCUACAGGACACUGAAUGAAAAUCCAUGUGGUCAGAAUCAACAGUGCCAAAGCUGCUGGGUAUUUGAACCAUAAGGACAAAGGAGAAAGCUCUGGGCCGCAGUAAGCCUGGCUAUAAACAGCCCACACAUGCUUUGACAAAGCGGGCAUGGGAGUGAAUCCAGAGCAUCAGAUCAAUUUGAAGUCGAGAAUGAAGAAAAGUCUCACAGGCAGACAGAAAGCUUCGUGACAGAUUCCCAUCUGUGUUCUAUAGAAUUGACCCUCAAAUAUCCGCAGAGUGAAUGGAAUGCUGACCCAGAGCCUGACCCUAACAUUGGAGGUUGAACCCUCUUGGGAGUACGGGAUUAUAGCCUGAGUUCUGAAUCGGGUGGGUCAGAUGACUGGUGCCUCCCUAGUGUGGAUCACCCCAUGGGCCACCAGGUGUGUACACACCUACCCUUUUAAAGAGCUUCUCUAGUCUACUAAGCAACCAGUCCCAUUUGUGAUGCUGUUGAACAUUAGCCAACUACAAGGUUGCACCAUCCCUUAGGGAGUCUGACCUUCUGGGAAUUUUGUCCUGCCUCUUUCACUAUCCUUUAACCUUUCCUGUUAUCUCUCACCUUGUCUACACUCUAUUUUGGAUCCCAUCGUGGGCCUCAGACUCUGCUAGACCUGCCUGCAGGCUCUGGAGCUAGCGACAUUAUGAAGGUGGCAUGGAGGAGAGGUGGGAAAAGUCACUUUGGAUAAGAAAUUAUGUGGUUUAUCUAGGGUGACGGAAACAAAUUGCCACAGUAAUUAGGUCAGUGUGAGUAUUCUGCACAAUGCACAGGAUGGAGGAUACAAGCUUGCGUGUUCUCUGGAUAUAGAAUAACACUUUGAGGAUUUAAUGGUGGGAUACAGAGAAAGGAUAUGAACAAAAACUGCUCUUCACAGAAGCCUAUGAACCAUAUGUGUGGGCAUUUCCUCUUUGCAUCUGUUGGUACUAGUUUGGGACAUACUACAAAUUCACUUUUGUAGAAAAGAAAUAAGAAAGCAAUCAGCAGUCUUUACCAGCAAAGGGAACUCCUUGAUCACCCUACAGUGCCCACUUCUCAUGGACACAGAUUUGGUAAAGUCAGGUACUUAGAAAUAAAACAAAAGGAAUAGCUGAGCACUAUUUUAUAUGUCUGUAACCCUAGUACUCAGCAGCCUGAUGCAGUUGAAGGGUUAGGCUGAGCUACAUAGUGAUUUACCUCUACAGUGGGCUACAUUGUGUGAUGCUUUCUGAAUGAAUGAAUAUAGAAAAGGAAGAUUCAGUGAAAUAACUGGAUUUUUCUCCAUGCUAUUCCUUUCCUUAAUUCUCUCAUUACCCUGGCAGCUCUGUGUGCAUCAGAGGUGAUUUCCCGCAUUUUUGAGAUCAUAAGAACUUCAUUUAUUGCUCACUGAUAAUUUUACCAUUAUUGUCUUUUUAUACCAAGUUUUAUAGUGUUACAGGAUUAUGGGAUCUUCCUGUUGCUGAUUCUUUCACAGGGUCAGCCCCUAAUAAACGCAUAUAGCUUGAAUAAGUGAAAGAAUAAUGAAUGCGUAGUGAAUAAACCCAGUCUUCUGAUUCUCUUCCCUGUUUUAGUUUUUUUAAAUGGUGCAAUAAACCUACUUCUGAUAUGUCCAUAUUUGCCUUUAAGAGAAUAAACUGUCUUUUUAAGAAUAAAAAUUCUUUCUCUAAACUGAAGUUGCAAAAAUAUCCCAGAGCUUCUGGCUACUGAGCAUUCCUAUUCUGGCUCUGAAAGAUUAUAGCUGGUAAUCAAACAUCUGUUUGCUCAACUUUUCUCCACUUACCAUAAUCCUAUUCAUCCUUCAAGUCUAGUUUAAGGUUUUCCUUCUCAGGGAAGCCUUUCUCUGUUGAUUACCAGAACUGGGAAAAAGUUUUUGUUUGCUGAUUCAUAUUACAAUGAAUUGCUACCAACAUUCACUCAGCACAGAUCAUGUAGAGAAAGGCAUUUUGGAAAAUGUGGCCCUGCAUCACAUUCGGCCUUUGCUCCCCAGUGAAAAUCAUUUAACACUUGUGACCCUGAAGUCACUCAGAGUGACCAUAAACCAUGGUGUCAGGAUGUGUGGUAAAGAGAGGGACUUGUGAACCUGUGUAUAAGAUGCUUGUUCCAAUAACCAACACUUUCUGGUGGCACAAAUGCUAUUAUUAUCUUUAUUUUUUUUUUCAUUUCAUUUUCUAAUCUCACUGUCUAGAUAGUUUAAGAAUCUCAAGUCUUUUCAAGUAAUUUUACAUCUAAUUUUGUAGGUUUUACAAGGAGAGACAGGUAAUAGAUAAAUAAAAUAUUGUAUAAUGGAAAAGUGAUUAAGUGAUCCGAAGACAAAUGAAGAAGAGGCAGGAGAGACUGAACAGGAGCAGGGAUGGAAUAGUACAGGAAGAUCUCUAUGAUGGUGAGAAUUUGGAGAGACUUUGAACAAAAUGGUGGACAUAGAGAAGGAAGCUCUGAAAAGAUUCAGAGCAGCCGAGGGACACAGGUGAGCUGAGUAGAGUUUUACAAAGAGCAGACAUGCCCAGGAGGACAACUGCGAACUCUCUGGGAGAUCAGAGUGGAUCAGAUGUGGGAGUGGGGAGAGCAGAGGUUCCGGAUAUUAUGAGCGAGUGGUGAGGGGAGAUACGACCAGGCUGCAGCCAGAGGAUGGAGUGGGUAGAGAUGGAAGUUUAAAAAAGACUCAAUCAUCCAUGUAGGGACAGGGCAAAAGAGGAGCAGAAGUGAUAAGGCAUGAUGAGGAAGAGACAAAUGAAAGCCAAGGCAGGGAAGGGAAAACUCGGUCAGAGUAAGGGUGGGGCGUGUUCUCAAGGCUCCUCCUGAAUGUGUGACCUGGCUCUCUGCUGAGUGAUGAGCCUGAGUAGAGGGGGAGAGGUUGAGUCACAUCAAACAGAGAGAAAGGCCAUCAAAGGACAGUUAAAAAUCAAGUCUAUUGUUUUUCAUCAUGGAUAAAGUAACCAUGUAACACAUAAGGGCAUCUCCAGAGAAACAGCCCAAACCUCACAGUCCGUGUUGUUGGUAUUUCUGAGAGAACACAUCAGUGGACCAAUAUCUGCUUAAAAAUACACUGUAUGUAUGCAUGGUGCAUUGCACACACACACACAUGCACACACACACACACACACACACACACACACACAGGAACACACUCACCACUUUCCAUCCUUUUCAACUCACAUCCACUCUGACAAUAAUGAUGUGUACUCUAAUUCUCACUAAAUUCUAGAGUAUGAGUCUUUUAAAUUUUUUUCUUUACCAAAUUACUGUUGAAUUUAGAUGUGUGACCUCUACAUAGUACUAUUUCAUAAAUUCAGAUUCAGAAGUUCAAGUCUUGCCAUAGGAAGUGGUUUUAACUCUUAUAGAUGUGCUCAUUGUAAGCCAGAGACCAUGGGCCAUGCUGGACACUGGAUAUAUAUGUUGACCUAUGAAAGGCCCUUGUAGUCAUUUAUAAGUUGACAGGGAAGUUGAGGUUCAGUUGCAUUAAUGAAUUUGCUCAGGCUCAGCAAGCUUUGUUAAGGGGCGUUCUGAGGUUGUAAGUGUGGGUCUUCCCAUAUUAUCCUGCACACACCAUGUCACCUAGCUGCAGCAAGAGGAAGAACAAUGAUCUUUAAUUUUGAUACUGAAGAUGCUCUUCAGCUCAUGCUGGCUUGAAUUUCCUGUGCACUGGAGGGAGAGGAGAAAGUGCAUUUUAAUAAGCUUCCAAUAAAUUAAUUUCAUUUUACUUCUUUUGAUGUAUGGUCUCUUCAAAAAAUCCAAUUCUACUGAUGUUUAUUAAGUGCCUCUAUUCACUUGGAAAGUGCCAGGCACUUCAGGGGAUCUAUGGAUGAGUGUGAUUUUCGGCCCAUGCUUCAAGAGCUUACAAUCUAGUGGAGAGGAUGGGAACAUGCAAUUUGUUCCAAUACUAGAUUGCAUGAGAUAAGCACCAUGAGAAGUGGUACAAACAAUGGGUUCUUAAUACAGAAAUGCAAGGUUAUGUGAAUAAUUAGAAAAUUGUCCUCAUAGUGCCUAAAUACCGGAAGUUCCACACAAUAGGACUCUUACAAAGGGUCUUCAUUUUAAACAUCUAUGCCUUGCAAUGCAUGAAGAAGUACUGGCGGUGAUAAGAGCAUCUACCAGGCUACAGUGGUCAUCAAUGUCAGCCCACUUUGUCCAAUUGAUGUAUUAUUCAAACUCACAGGUGAGCCAGGAUGUUCUUAACAAUUCCAUUUGGUAACUGACCUGCAGCUAUGCUGGGUUCUUUGUGUUUUUAGGCACCAACAGGUUAUACAAACACAGCACUGCAAUUGUACAAAAAUGUACAAUUGUUGUGUAAAAUUGUUGUUUUGUAUUUUAAAAUGUUUUAUUGAGUUGAAGAAUUUGAACUCCAAAAACACUAUGAACCCAGAAUAGGUCAGGCCCCAUGUAUUCUGAGUAUGCAAAUAUUUUCUUGGUAUCUAAAAGCAGUGCAAGAGAUACCAGCAUACAAUUUGUUUUUAGGUUUGCCACACGGCUUUGGAAGAAAGGAAUCUGAGCUAAAGAACACAAGCUAACACAGCACCCUGUUGUGCACCACUGCACUGGGAACACACACCUAACUGCGGAAGCCACACAUUAUUGCAGAACUUUACAAUACUCUGUCCCAUUCUCUGCCACCCCGGGGAUGUUUGUUUCCAUAUUUAUCCGAACACCCUUGUGCUUCUGUUCACUUCACUCCCCUGCUGCGGCAGGUCAGUGCUUCCCUGAUGGAUGACUGCAGUAGCAUUUGGUAUUGCUUGGAUGAAGUGAUGGAUGCUUCCCUCUCCUCUCCGGCUGCUUGGAGCCAGAAUACAGAAGUGCUGGUUAAAAGGUGAUUAAUCUUCCCUAAUGGUACUGUGCUUUGCAAACAGGUCUUUGACCACCAUGUCUUCAUUAGGUUUAAACAGAGCCCACAUUACUUUGGAUUAGGUAAUCGGUAAUUUGGAGAGUAGAGGCCUUUGGAGCAAAGGUUAACUGCAUAUAAUCCAUUUGGAAAGGAAAAGGAAUAGGACUCCAGUUUCCAGGGAUCCACAGGGAAAGAACUAAACUUGCCUGUGGUCUGGACACAGCUCCUGCUAAGUAAGCACUCUGGUCGAUGGAGAGUGGCAGGGGCUCUGAGGUAGUCAGGAUGGACAUUCGUUCAUGUUCUCUUGCCUUUUUUUUGGUUGUUAGAUGUCAUUGUAUGACCCUUGGACAUGAAACUGGGAAAUGUGCUUUUCUAAAGAUGCAAGAUAUAUUCUUAGUGUCUUUGGCAGCUGGAUGCAUUUCUUUAAAUGAUCAUCUAGAACUUCAUCUGUGCCUAGUAAUAUUAAGAGUCCUGGGCACUCAGAGACAAUCACGGGAGAGCAAGCUCUGAAUCUUUACAGCUCACCUUGAGUAGCAGAGACAAAAUAAGCAACUAUGCCUUUACCUUGUGAUAGUUGUAGACAUUGUCUGAAAAACACAAAACAGUAAGAAGAAACAGAGAUUGCCAAAGAUGAAUUCUCCGAUGAACAUAUUUGAGUAGAGAUUCAGUGAAAUGUGAGGUACAGUGAUCAUGAGAAUGGCCUUCUGGGCAGAGGAGACAGCCAAAUGCAAAAUUCAUACAAAUGGCCUAUGUUUCUUCCAUGUUAUUUUAUAUUUUAGCUCCUAUGACGAGUCAUUCAGUGUGUAUAUACAAGUACUGUUAAAUGAGCUGGAGUUGGAAAAUCACUAGAACAGUGUCAGGAACACUGUUGGUUUUCAGAAUGAUGUGAGCUGACACCUCUCCAUUUGCAGCAGAAGGGAAGGACUUAGGAUUCAUUUUUAUGCACACAAGGUUGUUACUGUCUUCUGUCAGCACACCACAUCCUGUAGCUUCUGGAAAGACACCAGCAGACUUUUCCUCUUCCUGCUCCUUCUUUUCUUUUCACUUGUCUCCUGAAACACAUGGACAUCGAGAAUUUAAGGAAAUGAGAGGUGGCCCAUAAAGCAGAGUACAUGACUGCUAAUUGUGCUAAUAUGAUAUCACACCCAGUAUGCCAUGUCACACAGGUUCACACACACAGGCAUGUUAGCCAUAGAAACUAAGUACAGUAAGUCCCCAACUUAGUGAUUAAUGGGUUCCAUUCUGGGAGAACAUUCCUAAAUUGGAUUGGUUCCUAAUCCAACUGAGUCUUAUAUAGUACACACCUGUGAGUCUUAUACAGUAUACCUGUGAGAGAUAGGUUGUAGCUCAACUGUAAACUGGGGAGUUAUUGUGUUGGAAUGCAGUGAGGACAGAAAGAGGAGAGUUUCAUAGGCCACAGAGACUUGGUAGUGCCUGGAAGUUUAGAGUAUCCCUUGACUACAAAGAUGCUGGACAUUCUCACUGGUGACCUGAAGGGAUGCAUAUAGUAACAGUGGCUUUUCAGGGGUCAGUAGGACACUAUAAUAUGUACAUUGCUAUAAUUAUCUCCUAAGGUAAACAUAACUUUGGAGUUCUGAUAUCAGCAUCUCAAAAAUACUGAAAACCCAUAUGCAUUAGUGAACUCUUGCUUUUAUAGACCAGGCAACUUUUGGGUCAGGGAUUUAGCUCGGUGACAUAAGUACCUUCCUGGCAAGCGAGAGACAGGUUGAGUUUGAACCCAGGUACCAGAAAUAUCUGAGACCAGGCAACUUUUUAAAAUUUUCUCUAUUUGACGAUGAUAAUAACACUCAUAGAAAGUAUUCAUUGAGCAACUGUCAAGUGAUAUUUCGUCUAACACAACAGACCAAGGAGAUCAGCCAAUGCCCUUCUGUUAUAUAAAUGAAGCCUUUGAAAUACAAAACUGUACUUAUGAAUAAAAAGCCCUGGAGCGCAGACCUGACUUACUAUAAAUCCAGUUUUCCUUCCAACUCUGAUAUUCUCAAAAUGCUUCACUAUUUUCCUCCCUUGGAGACUUAAUCCCAUGCUAUAUUAUCUCUAUUCAUUUCCUCUGUAAGUUCUUUGUGUUCCUUCUUGAUAAAUAUUUUGUAAUCUCUGCUUUAGUGUCCACCAUUACAUUUUUCCUCUUGCAGUGUCUUUAUAUCUCAGUCUUUGUACUUGGUCUUCCAACCUCUAGUUACCACCCCCAUCCACCAGCUGUUACAUUCAUUGCCUUUAAGCAUUAUCUGGGUACCUGAUAGCAUCUUACUGUUCAGGGUUUUUGCAGCAUAAUAGGCUCUGAAAAGUCUGACUUUACAGCCUAGUACCAUUUACACCCAUUACUUCUCCAAACUUUUUCCAGCUGUGUGACUAAGUUGACAUCCCUGAAGGAUGCAAAGUUCUCUGAACACCUGGUCUCACCCUCUAUGUCUACACAGAAAUGACCUCUUCCUCUUUCUUGUCUUUCUAAAAUAUCCAGAUCAAUUUUUCCCACUUCUAUGAAAUGUAUCCUUUCUUCUUCUGGCGUAUUGAUCUCUCUUUCUUGAAUGCUUUCUCUAAACUCUAAAGGUCUAUAAAAUGCUCUUUUUUAUAUAGUCCUUCAAUAGUAGCAGUUUAUCUCACUGAAGAUGUUACUUACGGAGGCCGAAUUAUUUCCUUUAGUGAAGCAGAAGCAGCUAACAGAAAUCACGGCUAUCACUGGCUUAGCCAGCUGGUGGUUUAUGGUGUGCCUGGAAGUGUGCAGUCCAGGGGCACAGCUGCUCUGCUCCACCACUUAAAAGCCAUGCUCUGGUUUGCCUUCCGCAUACUCUGUGCACUGGCUUUCACCUCUCAGUUUAUCGCAGCUUCCUCACCGUAUGAUCACUGCAUCCCCAGACUGUAGAAAUGGAGCAGUAGAAAUCCAGGUAUCUUUCCUUGGUUGGCUUUAGUCAGAAUCCUGUCAAAUGGCAUGAUUUCCUAGCUACAAGAAAAACUAGGAAAUCAAGUUUGAAUUGUUAAGAUUCAUCAGGGAAGACAGGCCCGAUGAAAUAUGGACCAAAAAAUGAUCUUCACUAAACGAGUUUAGAGUAUCAGUCACAAUAAAAGUUAAUAUAUAAAUCCUUACAUUCAUGUAAUAUCAUAUUCUUCGUCUGGAGAAAAAUGGAAGUGAGAAACAAUGCAGGUAUUGAAGUCACUUUGACUCAUUAUUGAAUAGUGCCACUCUCUCCUUGUGGUCAUGUGAACUUGAGUAUGUUGCUUACAUUUCCAAGGUGGAUUUCCCUAUUGAAACAUUUGGCUGAAUAAUAGCACUGCCUCUUAGAGUAAUCGUAAUAAUUGAAAGAGAUGAAACUCACAGCCUAUUAUAUCACAUUGGUGCUCACUGUCUAUUGGUUUUCCUUUUUCCCAUCUGUACAGAGAAAAUAUGAGAGGCAUUUAAAAAAAGAAUUGAUUCAAGAGAGACAGUAUUUCCUACCAGGUAGUCCUAUAAACUCUUUUCAGUAGGGAAAAAUAUUGCCCCUGUAACAGAACUGCAGAAGUGUUUGAGAUUUAUUUAUCUUGUAAUUAAGAACAGAAAGGAAAUCUCUGAAUGUCUGUGGAACUGUUGACCCGUGGAUACUGAGGUAUGUGCAAGUAACUCACACAUCUCAGGUGUUUAAUGAGGCUCAGUAACAAUUUGUGGGCUGUCAGCUCUAGGGUCCCAUCACCUCUGAUCACACACAGGAGCCCUGCUGCUGAGAAGUGAUACUUAGUGGGAAGGAUGAUAGAGCGACAUCCAGUUAGCAAGAAAGGCACAUGUGCAAGAAUCGUGUGUGCAAGAAUCAUGUGUGCAAGUGAUCCCAGUAUAUUUUAUAUAUAUAUAAUAGAGUACAUUCUUGACCCAUCCACUUCAUACUCCCUUUAAAGGCAGAACAAAAUUUUCCAUGUGCUUAUUAAAACAUUUAAAAGAAAAAAAAAAUUGGCACAGAAGCUUCUACCUGUGGAUUUUUAAUUAAAAAUAUUACUUAUGUAUAUAUUUAUUUGGAAUAUGUUUUUAAAACCCCAUAAAGUCUUCUAUUUUUAAUAAAAAGCAAAGGUGAAACAUUGCCAGAUGUUGGGAGGAAUAGUAACCAAGUGAUUCAAUCAGAAUUCUCCCACGGGGACGUGGACUCUCUCAGUCAGUGUCACAGAAUGAAAUAGUCUCUGAUUCACCCAGGAGUGAGUUAUUCCAUCUGGUUGUAGCAAUUAGGAGCUGAAGAUGACGGGAAGUUAAAUGACUAUCUUUAGGAAACAAAGCAAAACAGAAAAUGGAACAGCUGGGAGCCUGGAUGGCCGGGGGACACAGAAUUGGAUCUAGAAUAAAGGAUCUGUUACCUCCAGUCCCCGAUUGUAACGCUAGUACAGGUUAAUAUGAAUUGAAGGUUGCUGCUGUGUGAUAGUAGUUAGCUGUCACUUUGCCUGAAAUAUAACCGUAGCAUAUAUAGGGCAGCCUGAACUUAAGCUUCUGGAGUGUGGUGCCCUGCUUUGUCAGGGGCCGAGCCACCAGAUUAACCCUGUACAUACAGGGUCAAGUGUGAGAUUCACGGGGUCAUAGGAUUUCACCUGAAGAAAGGAUGUCACUGCUGAGACCAGAGCCCCAGAAUUCGGAUAUUUGUGUCCUUUCUUUGCCUGUGCUAUAUGCAUAACUUUGCCCAAGACCAAAGAAAAGGAUGAGUCAACUAGUUCUCUCACUGCUCCCACCACAAAGGAAAAAAGAAAGUGUAGCACCUACUUUAAUUCUUAUCUUUGGAUUUCACAGACCAGAACACAGAAUUUUGGUUUAGCACUUACUAGCUAUGUAAAUUAGUUAACCUUUGGAAGACUUAUUUUUGUCAUUUCUAUAAUGGGGAUUGUCAUCUCCAUUAUCAUCCCCUCCAGUUUUAUAAAGAACAUUUAAGAGAAUGUAUAUUUUUACUGAAAAGUCCAGUACAACUUAGCUCUUACUGUUAUUGUUGAAGUAUGCUCAAAGUUGAUGGCAGAAAUAGUAUGAGAGCCCUGAUCCCUAAUACACUAUUCUGGCCACUGGAAAAUAUGACCUCUUUCUUUCCUUGUAUUCACUAUAUCAUUUUUAUUUUGGUUUGGCAAGUCAAGUAACAUAAAGGAUUGAAGUCAGCCAGGUUUGGUGGGGCAUGCCUGUAAUCUCAGUACUCAGGAGGCUGAGGCAGGAGACUUGCAGCUUGUUCCAGAUCAGCCUGGGAGACAGAGUGAUAGUUCAAGGCCAACCUGAAAUACACAACAAGACCCUUUCUCAAGAAAGAAAGGAAAAGAAAAAGACAAAGAAACACAGAGAUCAAAUAGUUAUUUCUUAAGAGGGCUUACGGGUUAUUUCUGCAUAUUGGAACUUUCUUUCAACACCCUUUGUCUUCUCUAAACUGGAAUCUGGAACAGUAAAUCACAAAGAUCCAGGUCAGAUCUUUGCUUUACAGCACCCUCCACCCACUCUCCCCAAGAAGGACUGAGCAAGGUGAGACCUCGGACUCCUCAUUAGCAAGGGGAAGUCUUUCCAGGCAGCUCCUUCCUUGAAUAGAUAGAGUGGAUCAAACAAAAGGGAUGACAGAUUAGGAACUGUCUGGUGGCUAAUGUACUGUUUACUACAGUAUAAAUGACUGGUGUUUGGAAAAUGACAAAUGAGAAAGAACACAAUUACUGACUUAAAUAAUUUCCAAGUUUCCACAGCAGAGGAAAGUCAUAGUAGGCUGUGAUGUUGGCAGGGGAGGGAGGAGGUGCUGGUGGGAGUUUUGGGGUCAUGAAAAGAGCAUGGAGAACUCAUCAAUCCAGGAGCUGCCAGAGCUUCUGUGCCACAAACACAAGGGGAUGCCACGGGGUCCACGGGCUAGGCAUGGAGCGAGCCAUGCUCAGCCAAGUUGGGAGAUUCCCAGGAGACAUGGCAUGGGGAUGGGAAUAAUAAAUAUAUUUGAAAGGAGGUCUGAAAGAAAGAAAGAAAGAAAGAAAGAAAGAAAGAAAGAAAGAAAGAAAGAAAAACAAAGAAAGAAGUACAAAGGAGAGAGGGGAAAAGGAAAGGAGACUGGCAGGGGAAAUCUUGCACAUCAAUGAACCUGAAACCCUGAUAGUUAAGUUGUAAGAAUUUGUGUUAGUCUAACUUGCCCCAGGUCUAUAAGAAACCUUCAAUUAACUUGCAGCCAUUGAAGCAUUUUAACUUAGUUUUCAAUAAUAAUAAUAAUGGUCCUGAUGAUAUAAGACAGGCUCUAGGUUAUUUACAAACAUAUCACUGUUAUACCUUGUAUUUGCUUUCUCAGAGGUUAUGCAUUCAUUCAUAUCUGAAACAAAUAUUAAUCCAACAUCUAUUUUGUGACAGUUCUACAUGCUGAGGAUAAACUAAAGAAUGGAGAAAAAUAGUAAAAUUUCCCUCCUCAUGAAACUUGCAUACAAACUGAAAAGAACGUACAAUGUAUAGGAUACCAUACCAAAUUAUGUAAAUGAUGAAUCAGUGAUGUGAAGGCAACUUCUUCAGGGCACAGUGGUAGGGUGAGAAGUGUAUCUGCUACUUUCUAGAAGAUAUUUAGGCAAAUGUCUGGGGAAUCCUGAACAAAAGGAACAAGCAGCUUAUAUAUCUGUCUGAGGAGAAGCAUUCCAUCCUAAAAGAAGAGCAAGUUCAAGGGUUCCCAGGUCAGAGUACAGGAGAGGGAAGAGCAGAAUAGGAGAAUAAAAAGCAGGGUAGAGACAGACAGGGGCUAGAGGGUGAGGAGCAGGACAUUUUAGGACAGCAAGUUGAAAUGUGUCUUAAAAGCAGUAAAAUAACAUGAUACUAUAUUACAAUGCAACUCUGGCCAAUGAAUUGGAAACAUUUGGCGGGAAAAAGACCAGAACGAAAGCAGGAAGACCAGGUUGGAAUCUCACAGGAUAACCAAGCUAGUUAUGCUGGGGAUUUGUACAAAGAUGCUAGUUUUGGAUUUAGGAUCCAUUUUGAAUGCCAAGCUGACAGAAUUUGGUUGUGAAUUGGAUGUAAGGAAUGAGAAAACUGAGUUUGUGUGUCGUUGUAUUUCAAAGGUAUUUAUAUUUUAACUUUGUGCUCAAUCUUCUAUUAGUUAUUUGAUGGUCUUUUGAGGCAAUAAGAUUAGAUUAUAAAUUAAAUCAAAUAAGUUAAAUCUAUUAUAAAUAUCCAAAAGUCACGCAGUGACCCUUUUUGUAUCUAAUUCAGCCUACAAAAAUGCUGUGCUUGGCUCGUAGUGUUUCACAUUUUCAAGUCAGAAUUUAAAAAUCUAAACAUAUGAAUUCUUUUGAGAAGUUAUAUGAUGUGGAGUACAGAAGAGACAGUUGUGUUUUGGACCUGGAUAGCAAUUGCUUUUUUGCGCCAGGGGGCAACUCUUCAGUUCCUCACCCUUACAACCUGAAUUUCCCUCUCCACCUCCACCACCUGGAUGGUCACAAUGGGAUUCCUACUCCCUACCUGCUCCUCACUGCUUAGUCAGUCUUUAAAAGAGACUUCAGAGAUAAUCAUGAAUAUAAUUGCCUCAGAAUUAAAGGUCAGGGAUCUCAGUACUACUGUAAGCAGGGUAGAGACAGACAGGGAAGAAAUGGUUAGGGACUAGAUGGUCAUAUCCAGUCCAAGUCUCACCUGUAAAUCCAUCCAACAAGAGUUGCAUAAAUACAGAUGUAUAUUAGUUUUGGAAAGUUAAAAUAAUUUCACAUUAUAAUAAACCAUGUUUUCUAGAGUAUCAGAUACUCAAAGUAAGUUGCUUUUCAAAGUACAAUUACUUUGUUCCUCUCUUUUUCUUUUUUAUUCUUAAAAAGUGACUAUUAGGCUCGAAAAGUUUGGGGAUGGUUUUUCUAUUGUAACCACCCACUUUACUGGCAUCAAAAGAGAAUUCUUUAGGGAUAGUUUGUUUCCAAAACUGCUCAGCUAAUUAAUGAAUUCAAGUCUCCUAUCAAGCUGCCCUGCAUCUCUCUGGCUGUUUGUUCCAAACUCAAACACUACGAGACCAGAGGAGGAUGAUUCUGAAAUUUUGACAUUAGAAUUCUUGGUUUUGUUCCAGGGAUGGCAAAUUCCAGUUGCCAAAUGAAUGGUAAGGAUUUUCUCCUUGUGAGAAUAGUGUAGGACAGUAGUCUCAACAGCCACACUGCUGACAUUUUGGACUGGGUGAUUCUUUGUGUUGAAAGAAUAGUGCUGAGCAUUAUUGGGUGUUUAGCAGCUUUCCAGGCCUUACCCACUGGGUGUCAGUGGUAUGCCCCAAUUCUAAUCGUCACCGUUCAAGUAUCUCUAGACAUUGCCAAAUGUACCCUGGAGGGGGCCAGAGUCCUCCACUGAGAAUCACUGCUGUGGACAGACUACUGCUGCUUUACUCAUUGAUUCUGAGUCCCAGGAAAAGACCUUCACCACUCAGCAACUAGGCACCCUGCUGACCCUGAGCCUGCCUGUGUAACUGCGCACUGUCUUUCUCCAUCCGUGAUCAGGGCAAGGCUCAUUUAUCUCCGGUUUCUUCCCAGAGACCGCUUACUUUCACAAUGCAGUCCCUUUUCUUUAUAAGUGUCUUAGAACUUUUUCACUUUCAAAACACUAAUUUUCAGUCUCUCCGACUGGACAGGUAUGCAGUUUUGUCUAUUCAUCUAUUUGUCUCUGUUAGCUUUUAAAAACCGUCUCAUGUAGUCUCUCACUUCUUAGUUUUUCUUUUUGUUUUUAUUCUGUGUUUCUGUGUGUCUUUAAAAUCCAAUUUUGGUGUGAAGCCUGACUUUUUCUACUUAUAUCAGUGCCUUGCUGCCUAUACCUGUAUUUCAUUUUAUGGUUUAACUUUGCAGUGUGUAUACACCCAAUUCCUAUUAUUCUCAUAAAGUCUGAGUUUCUGGUUUCUGUCUUGACUGGUGUGUGUGUGUGUGUGUGUGUGUGUGUGUGUGUGUGUGUGUGUGUGUGGCAGCUGGUCUUUUACUCUGACUUUCUCUAUUUCUAUCUAUUCUGUGGUUUUUUUAGGGCCCCAUUCCAUUUUGGAAGGAUGGUGACAUGUUUUUCUGAUAUUUCUGUUUCUGACAUUUUUUGUUCUUUUUUCUAUUGACAACUCUUUCCAUUUCUGUCUUUCUUUUAGAAAUGGCCCAUCUGGACUAAGUUCCUAUCAGGAUCUCUUUCUCUGGGUAGGAACUUCCUCAGGCAUGUAAUAGAAACCUUUUAUUUCUGUUGAAUGGUAAUCCUAAGGGAAAGAUACGGAAAGGACCUUUCAGUUAAGUGCGUAAAGGCAAUUCUAUGUUUGUUUUAUUUCACCGAAUGGAAAUUUUAAAGAAAACACACAUCCAGUACUAAAUCCAAGAAAGUUUAAAUAUUUAACGUUUCAUAAAGUUAGUGUGACAGAAAGUAAAAGGAUUCCAUAUUGUGAGCAAGUAGCUUAGAAAAGUCAUUAAGUAAUAUAUUUGUAAAAUCAACCUUUUUACUGAGGCUACUGAAAUAAAAUCAAGGGCUGCCACACAAGAUACUUACUGUGAAGUUCAAGAAUAAGAUACUAAGAGGAGUAUUCUGUGAUUCACAAGGAACGUACCUUGUCCUUGGUUCCUGAAGAAUGUCCAAACCAACAAUGAGGACAUUACAAGGUUCACAAGGACAGUGAAAACUGUUCUAUCUUCUCAGUUUUGUAAGAAAAUGAGAAUUGUAAUAAACUUCCAAAACAGAUUGGAAUCCAUCUGGUGUAGCCAAAUUAAUCCUCCUUUAAUGACUGUUUAUAUUGUGUAUCCAAAGUCAAAUUCAGUAUUAAGAGUUAAUCAAUUACAAUUUAUAAUCAUUUUGGCUCACCAAAACAAGAAGGAAUUGAAAACUGAGAUUUUAUUUUAUAGUAGAAACACAUUUUUAAAAACUAUGUUUCUUAAUUGCACCAUAUGUAAAUAAUUCACAUUAUCUCUGGAAAUUUUAUUGUUUAAUUUUUGUAAAGGGCAAAACAAUGAUUGGUGAUACUGCAAAGCAAUGUGAAGAUGGCUUGCUAUGGAAGUUUUUAAGCAUUAUUUCCUGCCAAAAAAAUUCCUAAACAAAAAUUUGAAGGGUAAACUAGCAUAUUAAACCAUGAAUGAAAGUAUUUUCCUUCUCUCUAGUCCAGUAUAAAUUUUUUAGCAAUCUGUUUGAUGUUUCUUGAUUAUAUUUGAAGUUUUUUCUUUCCCAUAAUAGUUACUAUGGAAGUAAAAUGGUAUGUGGUGGUAGGAACCUGGCACAUGGGUUCAAACCAGAUUUCCUUCUGUGCCAUGCCUCCCACCAAGUAACGUGAAUGGCUCUUCGAGCAAGUUGUGUUAUCAUGAGAAGGGAACACAUAAUCAUGUGUCUCCUACUUCAGAGAGCUGGUGUUCGUGAAGACUAGGGAUGUCAGUAAUUUGUUCUGUAUUGAUUGUUAUCUGCUAUUGGUGCCACCUCCAGAGAUAUAUCCCUUUCCAUUGUCCUUCUCUUAGACUCACCUGAGCUCUUCGUAUUUCUAAGUAUCUGCACCUGUUAUUGCCUUUGUCUCCCUAACUGGGCUAACUCAUACUUGACCUUCAGAGCUCAGACUUUGACUUCUGUAGGAAUCCUUUUGUGCCAUUCCUUUUUCAUUGAGGUUUAUAUGCUGAGUCAGGCUCUAUUAUAACAUUUAACAUAUUAUGUUUAUUCAUUUACUUUCCCGUUCUUUCACAUGCAAACAUGGCGAGGGCAGAAACUCUGCCCUCUAGUUGAGGAUGAAAUCUCUUUGUAGAUCUGUCCCCUCGUAAUGCCUGGCUCAUAGGAUGUGCUCAAGAAACCUCUGUCUCCACUGAGUGGGUAAACUUGAGUGAGAAUGUUCCACCAGGAACAACAUAAUGCAGGUUACAUUUCCCAAAGUAUGUCUCUUAAAGGCUUUUGUGUUUAUGAGUUGGGAAGUGUCUCCAUGGAACACUGAUAUCUUCUGGAUUUUCCUAAAUUUAUCUGAAACAGUCAGUAUGAGGGAAUGCAGGGAGUUGGGGAUAUAUCUCUCUUAAAGAGUUAUGGCUUUGAUAAGUUGAACUGUAAUUGCAGUAGACGUCCAAACACAACCUAAAAUUCUCCAAAGGAUCCAGAUCGUAGAACCCUCCUUUACUAAUUUAUUCAGAAACCCAAAUGUACUGACCAACAUGGGAAACAAGCCCAGACUAGUAAAAGCAUCUAUAACCAAAUAUCCUGCUUUUCCUUCCUCAUCAUUUCAAGAAGUUGGUGGAGGUCAGUGAGGCCUUCAUCUCUGGGUAGAGACUAAUUUCAGCUUGGAACUUUUAAUGGGCAAGGUGAAGCCGUUCAAUCAUAUAGGAUCCCUUUAUCUGUUCUAGUCCAGCUCCUGUAACUAUUUUCAUCUCACUGAAGUGGCAUAGGGCAUGGUGAUCUUAAAAAGACAGGACCCCGAAUUUCAAUGGGUCUAUAGGUACGAUAGUCUGUUUUUAGUAUUUCUUCAAAACACCUGAAUCACCUGUUAAAAUUAUUCUUGAGGACUCUACUUGGACAUACUCAGACAGCCUGAGCAGAAGAUUUACAAUACCAUUGUACAAAAGGCCACUGUAGUUCUUUUGGUUCUUGUUUUUAUUGAUUGCUAGUAAAGCACUUUCAAAAGUAGAAAUAUUUAAAUACAUCCAUGGAUUCAUGGCUGAAUUCUACAAGAAAUUUAGAGAAGAUUUUAUGUCAAUACUCUUUAAACUCUUCAAUGAUAUUGAAAAGGAGGCAGUCCUCCCUAAAUCAUUCUUGGAGGCAAGUAUUACUCUCAUACCAAAACCAUAGAAAUACCCAACCAAAAGGGUGAACUCUAGGGCAAUCUCACUAAUGAACAUUGAUGCAAAGAUUCUAAAUAAAAUACUGCCAAAUAGAAUGCAACAAAUUAUCAAGAAGAUUUACAUCACAACCAAGUGGGAUUCGUUCCAGGAAUGCAGGGAUGGUUUAACAUAUGCAAAUCAAUAAAUGUAAUGCAUCACAUCAACAGAGCCAAAAACAAAAACCACAUGAUCAUCUUAAUAGAUGCAGAAAAAGCUUUUGAUAAAGUCCAACAUAUGUUCUUGAUAAAAACCCUUCAGAAACUCAGAAUACAUGGUUUCUACCUCAAUCUUACAAAGGUCAUCUAUGACAAACCAACAGCCAACAUUAUACUAAAUGGACAAAAACUGAAACCUUUCACACUAAAAUCAGGAACAAGACAAGGAUGGCCACUUUCACCACUCCUAUUCAAUAUAGUUCUGGAAAUACUAGCCAGGGCCAUCAGACAAGGGAGAGAAAUAAAAGAAAUAAAGAUAGGAAGGGAAGAAGUUAAACUAUCACUAUUUGCAGAUGACAUGAUACUCUAUAUAGAAGACCCAAAAAGCUCCAUUAAAAGACUACUAGAGGUAAUAAACAAAUUCAGCAGUGUAGCUGGAUACAAAGUCAAUGUUCAAAAAUCAAUGGCAUUCCUGUACACAAACAAAAAUCUCACCAAGAGACAAAUUAUGGAAAUAUUAUCUUUCACAAUAGCAUCUUUAAAAAUAUACUUAGGAAUCAACCUAACCAAUAAUGUAAAAGAGCUAUAUGCUGAAAAUUAUGCUAUGCUAAAAAAGAAGAUUAAAGAGAAUGUUAGAAAAUGGAAGGAUAUUCCUUGCUCUUGGUUAGGAAGAACCAACAUUGUGAAAAUGGCCAUACUCCCAAAACUCUUAUCCAGAUUUAAUGCAAUCCCAAUCAAAAUACCAUUGACAACCUCACAGAUCUAGAGAAAACGCUCCUAAAAUUCAUUUGGAAACAAAAAGAGACCUAGAAUAGCAAAGGCAAUUCUGGGCAACAAAGGCAAGGCAGGAGACAUCUCAAUUCCUGACUAGAAACUAUAGUACAAAGCCACAGUAAUAAAAUCAGCAUGGUACUGGCAAAGAAAUAGACCUGAGGAUCAGUGGAACAGAUUAGAAAAUGCAAGCACAACUACAAAGACACUCAGUCACCUGAUAUUUGACAAAGGUGCUAAACAUGUUCACUAAAAGCAUUGCUUCUUUAAUAAAUGGUGUUGGAAAAAUUGGCUUUCCACAUGCCAAAGACUGAAAUAGACCCAUGCGUAUCACCAUGCACAGAACUAAAGUCUAUGUGGAUUAAAGAUCUAAAUAUUAAAACAGAAACACUUAAUCUACUGGAAGACAAGGUAGGUAGAAGUCUUUGAGAUGUAGGAAUAGGCAGAGAAUUCAUGAACACAACACAAACUGCAUGGAAAACACUUCAAAGAAUUGACAACUGGGAUCUCAUAUUACUGAAAAGUUUCUACAAUUCAAAAUAAAUCACCAACAGAGAGAAAAGAAAACCCAAAGGAUGGUAAAGUAUUAUAGCUAGCAACCCCUCAGACAAAGGACUUAUAUCCAGAGCAUAUAAAGAAUUGAAAAACAUCAAGAUCCCAAAUUCAAAGACCCUCUCCAAAAAUGGGCAUCUGAGAUGAACACAUAGUUCUCAGAUGAAGAUAUACAAAUGGCAAAUAAGUACAUGAAGAAAUGUUCACCAUCACUGAUUUUUCAAGAAAUGCAAAUUCAAAUAGCAUUGAGAUUUCAUCUCACUCUGGAAAGAAUAGCUGCAAUCAAGAAAACAACUGAUAACAAAUGUUGGCAAAGAUGUGGGGAAAAAGUAACACUGAUCCAUUGUUGGUAGGAGUGUAGACUGGUGCAGCUACCAUGGAAAUCAGUGUGGAGAUUUCUCAGAAGACUAGGAUUGGAAGUUCCAUUCAACCGAGUUAUUCUCCUUAAGGGUAUUUUCCCAGAAAAACUGAAAAGGUCAUAUCACAGUGAUAUAUGUGCACCCAUGUUCAUAGCAGCAUAAUCUGUAAUAGCCAAAUUUUGGACACAAACAAAAUACCCAUCAACUGCAAAGUGAAUGAAGAAGAUUUGGCAUUUUUACACAAUGGAAUAUUGCUCAGCUAUAAAAAAGAUGAUCUUGAGGCCUUCAUAGGUAAAUGGAGGCAACUUGAAACUAUCCUCCUAAGUGAAAUAAAUAAGAAUCAUAUUUAUAAAUAUCACAUUGGGUCUCUAGUGUAAAAAGUAAUAAGAACUGUAGGAGUAAUAAAACCCCAAAUGUGUAAUUGCUAUUGUAAAAAGAGAUGAAAAGGAAGUGCUCUAAAGGUUAUAACUGCAUGCAUGUUUAAGUGUGUAGGAGUGAUAACCAUAUUACUAAGUUUUUGUUGGAUCAUUGAGCAGAACUGUUUGCAGUCUCACUGUUUGAAUGUAUACUUUGUAUGCUUUAAUUUUGUAAAUUGAACAACUAUUUAUAAGAUGACAGUAUGUAAUUUACCAACUAGUUAUUUCUUAGUUUUAUUUUAUUUUUUGAAUUGUAUUCUUGUUACCCUUUUGUCUGUUUUUCUUUUUUUGCUCUUUAAAUAAAUAAAAUUAAAUAUAAUAAAUAAA